CGAGGGGACUUGUCCCCGUUGGACUGCGCAGCAGUCCCGAUUUUGGGGUCGCUUCGCAACCCAACGGGGACAAGUCCCCUCG
RNAcentral lists this non-coding RNA (82 nucleotides) under Pseudomonas sp. 478. Lineage: Bacteria; Pseudomonadati; Pseudomonadota; Gammaproteobacteria; Pseudomonadales; Pseudomonadaceae. The record is from RNAcentral.